UACGUAGGGGCCGAGCGUUGUCCGGAGUUAUUGGGCGUAAAGCGCGCGCAGGCGGCUUGGCGCGCCCGACGUGAAAGCCCCCGGCUUAACCGGGGAGAGUCGUCGGGGACGGCCGGGCUUGAGGGCGGGAGAGGGUGGUGGAAUUCCCGGUGUAGUGGUGAAAUGCGUAGAGAUCGGGAGGAACACCUGUGGCGAAGGCGGCCACCUGGGCCGACCCUGACGCUGAGGCGCGAAGGCGUGGGAGCGAACGGG
Molecule: ribosomal RNA, 252 nt
Filed under: uncultured bacterium
Lineage: Bacteria
Description: partial 16S ribosomal RNA
Rfam family: Bacterial small subunit ribosomal RNA
Source: RNAcentral